UGGGGAAUCUUGGACAAUGGGCGCAAGCCUGAUCCAGCCAUGCCGCGUGGAUGAUGAAGGCCUUAGGGUUGUAAAAUCCUUUCGUUGGGGACGAUAAUGACGGUACCCAAAGAAGAAGCUCCGGCUAACUACGUGCCAGCAGCCGCGGUAAUACGUAGGGUGCAAGCGUUAAUCGGAAUUACUGGGCGUAAAGCGUGCGCAGGCGGUUAUGCAAGACAGAUGUGAAAUCCCCGGGCUCAACCUGGGAACUGCAUUUGUGACUGUAUAGCUAGAGUACGGUAGAGGGGGAUGGAAUUCCGCGUGUAGCAGUGAAAUGCGUAGAUAUGCGGAGGAACACCGAUGGCGAAGGCAAUCCCCUGGACCUGUACUGACGCUCAUGCACGAAAGCGUGGGGAGCAAACAGAAUUAGAUACCCUUGUAGUCCCUGAGCGGGCUGGCAAGGCGCAU
Molecule: ribosomal RNA, 447 nt
Filed under: uncultured bacterium
Lineage: Bacteria
Description: bacterial SSU rRNA
Rfam family: Bacterial small subunit ribosomal RNA
Source: RNAcentral